AUGUUCCCAGGCACGUCCCCAAACAUGCCCCUCCCAUCCUCGAGUCCACGGAUCACCCAGCAGUGUAAUGUCUUCGAAGAGAAAGUAAUUCUUCAGUGCCCGAUGAUGCAGCAAUUCCGCUUCUGGUGCGCCCUGCCCCGCCCUCAAAAUGCAGAGCAAGCCCGAAACUCCUGGAGCUCCUCCUGCCUCUGCCUCCCAAGUGCUGGGACCACAGCAUGUUGCCUUGGCAUCUGCAUGAACUUGGGGAUGACUUUUCUUUUUCUGAAAAAGUCACUGGGACUUCAGUGGGACAGCAGGUUCUCAGGUCAGUCCAGGAGCUACUCCCAGUGCUUCUGGGUGUGUUCAAAUCCCCCCACCCCCGUGUCCCGUGUGUGUGUGUGUGUGUGUGUGUGUGUGUGUGUGUGUGUACUCAAUGUCACCCCUUCAUGGUUUCAUCCUGUAGCCCAGGCUAGCCCUAACUUGUGGCAAGCCUCCUGUCUGAUACACUUUAACGUCCGAUCACCCCCAUUCCUUUCCUGUUGAGAGUGUGAUGUCGUGUCAUGUGACACGGGCCCAUGCAUUUUUCUCACUGUCUCCAUCUUACAAACAAGGAAACUGAGGUCCAGAGAGAAUCCUGACACACAGCUGAGAAAGGUAGGAUCAGGACUCACCUCAAACUCUCCACAGCAUGGUUUCUAGGGCCCUGACCCAGGGCUCUCCCGGUAGUGUGUGACCGUUGGAGAAUGGAUGGAUGCCAUUAUGGUAAAGGAACACUCUAAAAUAGGCUGUCGUGCUCUGUAAACUAGACUAUGAUGCUGGCCUUAGCCUGUUCCACUCUGGAUCACAGAGUGGUGAACGCACACAUGGGCGUGUCAAGAGACUGCUGUUUUUCUUCUCAUAUACCGAAAUGUAAAUACACUUUGGAUCAUACAAUGGAAAUUUCCAGUUGCACAGGAGAAAGAGGCGGUGUCCCUGAAAGCAAAAGUGCACCAUUGCUGGGGGUUGGGGAUUUAGCUCAGCGGUAGAACGCUUGCCUAGCGAGCGCAAGGCCCUGGGUUCGGUCCCCAGCUCUGGAAAAAAAAAAAAAAGAAAAAAGAAAAAAAAGUGCACCAUUGCACCCCGGAUAGAUUUGUCUUCUGAAAAGGACAGGGGCAGAGACUCCGCCCCUCUCUGCUGCAGCCUAAUGCAGCCUAGUGGGGAGCAAAGCCCACGGUCAGAAAUCCAUAGCCAGUGAACGCAGUUCUCAGGCGGCAGGUCCCACUAGCUUGCUGUGUGUCCUUGGCUAACCUCGUGCCCUCUCUCGAUCUACUUUGCUUAGCUGUCAACCAAUUUGUGCAACUUACUGAAAUCAAUACAAGCAACUUAACCGUUACUUCCACUCUUUGAGAUUCUGUUUAUAGCCUGCGAACAAAGGUGCAAAGACACAGCUGCGGCUUUGCUUGAGGCGCAGAAUCUUGCAAACUGCCUGAAAGGGAAAGCCCCCCUCCCCUCCCUCCCCCAAACACACACACCACAAACACAAGGCAUUAUUGGCGUUGAUUCUGUGGUUUGGCCGUGGCCAGGGAUUCCUGGCGACACCUGCUGGUGGAUGUCAGUACUGCAGCCUAUGUAGCUGGGUCAUGUUUUUCACAUACAAUUUUGGUUCCUUAGGGACUACUGAAGAAAGAGCCAAGGUGAGGAGGCCGCCGGGGAGUGGACGUUAAAACCUCCAAUCAGAUCGAAUUCCGGUCUCUGCGCCGGGCGCUCAUGGGCGGACCUGUCAUUGCCUACAUCUUUUUAGGAACCUGGGUUCCUGAGACCUAUCUCUGUUCAGGGCUGCAAGAAAGUAUUCAAUCAUUUGAUACUUUAGUGUGUGCAAUAACCAGCACCUAGGACUGGAGGGUCUCACCGAGGUUCUUAGGAUACCGACCUGGUACCAGCUUCCUAGAGAAUAAACUAGUGAGGGUGCCCAGAACCCUGGAUGUGGGUGACAACGACUUGUCAACCAGAUACAUCUAGAAUCAUCUGAGAAGGGAGGGCCUCUGAGAAUGUUUGUGAGGGAUGUCUUGGUUGAAUGAUUGACAUUAAAGACCCGCCCACUGUGGGUGGCACCAUUCCCUGGGCUUGGAGACCCUGGACUGUGUAAAUGUAGAGAGAGGGCCCAGGGCUAGCUAGCACAGACACAUUCAUCCAUUGCUCUCUGCUGAGUGUGGAUGUGAUGUCCAGAUGCUUCAAGCUCUCAUUCUCCCGUGACUUCCCCAAGUAAUGGACUGGAACCUGGAAUUGUACGGUGCAUAAACCCCUUCUUCCUUAAACUGCUUUGGUCAGGAUAUUGAGUUUGACUCCCUGGUAGGCAACCAGAUAGGGAGAGGGGCCACAGCUAGAAAAUAAAGUGAGUUUCCAAGAUAGUCAGCCUCGUUCUCAAUGUCCUGACUUCCCUCCCACCAGCAGGUUCCAUGCUGAUGAACUGGUUUAAAGGACCUGGUCAGGAAUGCAGCACUGUUCCCAGCCAGCCAACCUUCCGAGCUUCCUUGAAACUGACGGCUUCAAGUAGAGGAGGAAAACUUUACGGAGGCUAAAACGUUUGUCCCAGGCCUUGGGAGGAACUGGGUUUGGACUCUUUCAAUCCUGGCUUGGCUGUGGGGUCUUUUUCUCUGAGUGUCUGCCUUGUGCUUGCUUCCUUACCCCCAAUAAAAGCUGUCCCUCACCCGC
Non-coding RNA from Rattus norvegicus (Norway rat), 2670 nucleotides. The record is from RefSeq and is a predicted model, not a curated record. Lineage: Eukaryota; Metazoa; Chordata; Mammalia; Rodentia; Muridae.